GCAAACAUUUUAACAGUUCAUUAACUAUAGUAAUGCGCAUACGGAGGAGUGCAGGAAAUUAUAACGACAGAGAUUGAUGAAUUGUCACAAAGAGAACACUCUCAUGGAAUCAGUACCCAGGUCAAGAAACAGAACAAUGUAACACUUUCGUGCCCCCUUCCAGUCACCACCCCCAGGGGUGACCACCAUGCUGACUUCUAAAUAGGUGACAGGAUUAUUCAAGUUAAUUUUGUAUGGCAUGUGGACCAGCUCUUGUUUUUCCAGUACUUUAAUUUCCAGUUCUUUCUUGUUUUUCUUCAACAUCAAAUCUCUGAAGGCCGCCCUUUCCAGUUAAUCCUUUUCCUACGGAACCCCUGGCUUCCCAAGAUACCUACCUCUGUUCCUGCAGACUUUCAAUCUCCUUCCUUGUGAUUCUCAGUAGCCAGUGCCCUAAUCCGCCACGUCUCACUUAUUAAUUCCCAAAUGUGGUGCUCAUAUUCUCAACUCCAUACCUUUGCUUUAUUCAUCCUCCAAGGCUGGCAUAUCCUUACAGCCAUUCUUUUUUUUUUUUUUUUUUUUUUUUUGGUCAGUUGGAUUGUCCACUGCAAUUAAGCUGUGCAAGAGCAAAAUAAAAUUUGUUUGUUUGUUUGUUUGUUUCUCUAUAACUAUCUCAUGCUCUGCAGGAACCUCUACCCUUCUAGGUAAUAGGAAAGAAAAAGAUAACUAAGUACAUAAUCCACCUUCAAUCUUAGCCCCAGUAGUAAUUUUUCUAGAGUCUCUGUAGGUAAACCUGUCUUUAAUGGUGAUUGUUGAGCCUCUCUAAUUUCCAUUUCCUGUCCCCUGCUUGUCUUUAGAUAGUGGCUGGCUGUGUGGAGUGGGCACAGCGCUUGCUCUCAUGAGCCGGUCCCUGGAUCUACAUCAAGAUGGUGCCUGGAUCUGUGGAUGGACUCUGGUCCUACCUUGGCCCCUGCUGCACUGAAGCUCCUGGCAUUUCCAGGGAGCCUUGCCCCUGUGUGUUAUUGGCCUGUUUUUCUGAUGUCUGCAGCCUGACAAACAUGUCACCUGGUCUUUCUCAGCUGGGUGGCUCCUCUUUGUUGAUUCAAUGCCUCCUGGUCUUGCACCCACUCCCCGACUCAGAUACUCUGCUUGGGCUCUUCCAGGAGAUCAGUGUGCUCUGCCAGGUCCCAGGGCAGACCUGCUGGCUCUCAGCUUGGCACUGAGGAAUGCUCUGGAGUAAACACUAGCCCUCCCCACCUGCUACAUGCUCAGCCCUCUCCCCUCUGCCGUGUUGCCUCAUGUCUCAGUCAUUUCUGAUUCCUCGUUACCUAGCAGAAUGUCUGGCACUUUUGCUCAGUAAGAUGCUUUUGAAAUUGAACUGGAUUGUGAAUUCCUUUCAGUGAGUGGUCCAUGCUUUAUUUGGCAAAUAGAUGCCAAUGACUACUAUUUUCUCGAAAUUUUAUAAAGUUAAUUAUUGAUACACCCAAAGCAGAGGGAUCUUCUGAUCCCCAAAGCCUGGCUUUCAGUGUUGUUUUAACCCUUCUAAAAUCUCAAGUUUCUCUAAUAAAAACCACGAUAGUCUGAAAUGCUGGAAUUUGGAAUUUAUGCCUUCCUAGAGUGCUGAUACCGUCUAAAUGCACAUGGUAAAUGACACUGAUUCAUGUGCUUUGUGUGGGCAGGAGUUCAAAGGCCUCAUCAGCAAAAGAUCCGGGAACUGAGAGGGAACAGCCCCCACACUCACC
This 1718-nucleotide long non-coding RNA is filed under the name Homo sapiens (human). Its description in RNAcentral is "HSALNT0120958". The record is from RNAcentral. Lineage: Eukaryota; Metazoa; Chordata; Mammalia; Primates; Hominidae.